GGCUCAGAAUGAACGCUGGCGGCGUGCUUAACACAUGCAAGUCGUACGAGAACGCUCUAGCUUGCUAGAGCAAGUAAAGUGGCGCACGGGUGAGUAACGCGUGGGUAAUCUACCUUCGAAUUGGGGAUAACGUUGCGAAAGCGACGCUAAUACCGAAUAACAUCCAUAAAGCUUCGGUUUUUUGGAUCAAAGGUGGCCUCUACAUGUAAGCUACUGUUUGAAGAUGAGCCCGCGUACCAUUAGCUUGUUGGCAGGGUAAUGGCCUACCAAGGCAUCGAUGGUUAGCUGGUCUGAGAGGAUGAUCAGCCACACUGGAACUGACACACGGUCCAGACUCCUACGGGAGGCAGCAGUGAGGAAUUUUGCGCAAUGGGGGAAACCCUGACGCAGCAACGCCGCGUGAGUGAUGAAGGCUUUCGGGUCGUAAAGCUCUGUCAAGUGGGAAGAACCUGCAGUAUGUUAAUAUCAUAUUGCACUGGCGGUACCACUGAAGGAAGCACCGGCUAACUCCGUGCCAGCAGCCGCGGUAAUACGGGGGGUGCAAGCGUUAUUCGGAAUCAUUGGGCGUAAAGAGCACGUAGGCGGCUUGGUAAGUCAGAUGUGAAAGCCCGGGGCUUAACCCCGGAAGUGCAUUUGAUACUGUCAAGCUUGAGUAUGGGAGAGGGAAGUGGAAUUCCUGGUGUAGAGGUGAAAUUCGUAGAUAUCAGGAGGAACACCGGUGGCGAAGGCGACUUCCUGGACCAAUACUGACGCUGAGGUGCGAAGGCGUGGGUAGCAAAC
This 780-nucleotide ribosomal RNA is filed under the name uncultured delta proteobacterium. Its description in RNAcentral is "bacterial SSU rRNA". It matches the Rfam family "Bacterial small subunit ribosomal RNA", at positions 21 to 773 of the family's 1533-position model. The record is from RNAcentral. Lineage: Bacteria; Deltaproteobacteria.